Molecule: long non-coding RNA, 1180 nt
Organism: Alosa sapidissima (American shad)
Lineage: Eukaryota; Metazoa; Chordata; Actinopteri; Clupeiformes; Clupeidae
Exons: 4
Source: RefSeq, a predicted model, not a curated record
GCAUCCGCACCACCCAGCCAGCAACAUAGAAGAGGCCCUCCUCCAUGAUGCAAUCACCAUGUCCUCACUGUGAAGUCCUGCUGAAGCAUCCGCACCACCCAGCCAGCAACAUAAAAGAGGCCCUCCUCCAUGAUGCAAUCACCAACAGUCUACAAAAGUAAACAUCAAUUGGUUCUGCUGUGGGUGAAAGAGGCAGGGCCAAUGAGAUGGUUGGAGGCAUCAGCAGACCUGUGGUUGCGGAGGUUGAUAGAGUCGCCCCAUUGGAUGAGGUGAGAAGUAUGACACCAUCAUCCACCUCACAAUUGGAUGUGACUGAAGAGAGGGCAGGCAGAAUAUUCGACACACUGAGUCCCCUGAGCGCAGCGGGGACUCCCGUGCACUGGGGUUAUACUUAUGGCCACCUUUUCCCCGGACCAAGGAGAAGAGAUUCUACCAAAAAACAAAAGGGGGAGAAAAAAGGUUUGAGCCCUCAACCUCAAAACUGACCCUGUGGCCCUCCGCUGCAGCAGAACUGGUCCUUGAGUACCGCCAGAAUGGGACCACUACCUAGAAGAUCAAGAGGGUGGACAGGGUGUGCAUGGAGGCAAGGGACACAGUGGCACUGAAAGGAGGCGACACCAGAGCGUGAUGUGCGCAGGCUGAUUGGUCGGGCGUCGAUACAGCUGUGUGAGCUAAAUCAAAGGAUACUCUCCCAAUGAGGGAGACGGAGAGGACUGUGGUGGCACCUUGACCAGGCACUGCAGACGGGCUCAGCAGGGUCGACCCAGAACCCAGCAGCAUCGGCAACGUAUCGUCCAGCAGCAGUGAACCCACAGCCCAGCAGCAGUGGCGGUGUAUCGUCUGACAGCAGCGGCCGGUUCAGCAGUGGCGGUGUAUCGUCUGACAGCAGCCGACCCAGGGCCCAGCAGCAUCGGCAACGUAUCGUCCAGCAGCAGCUGACCCAGGGCCCAGCAGUGACAGCAGCGCACCCAGGACCCAAUAGUGGACCCAAUGGCGCUGUAUCAUCCAGCAGCAGCGGACCCAGGGCCAGCAGCAGUGUCUAAGUGUAUCGUGCAGCAGCCGACCCGCACACACACACACACACACACACACUUUGCCUUCUUCAGCUGGUGUUCAUUUAGUCAUAGAAUGCUGUUCUCCAAUGUUCUGUAUCACUUAAUAUAAUCCUUAAUAUAGUCUU